GGAUUCUGAAAUUAAUUCUCUCAUAGGUCAAAUGGCAACAAGAACUUCAUUGCUGGUAAUAAAUGAGGUGUUGAUUAUCCCCGGUGUGCUUUACUUCCACGUUUUUAAAGACACAACGGUGGAAAGUUAAAUGAGAAUCAGAUGUAAAGAAAUACAGAUUUAUGUAAUAGCUCUAUCACUUGAAAGCUAUGGGGGCAAGGUAUUUAUAAGGCGUGUGGAGGUGGCUCACCUGUUUUAACUAUACCAGAAGUCUUAAAGUAAAAGAACGGCAGGCUCAGUUCAGCCAACUAUUAUUAGCUCAGGACAUGCCGGAAAGUCAAGAAGGUCUUUCUUGCAGUUUUAGUUACCUGUAACUGUAGGAAAGAUAGCACUAAGAAGAAGGCCUAUGAUUUAAUCACUGGACUUAAGCAAAUGCAAACAAUAAUGAAGGCUCUGCUUUUGGAGGUUCCCUGACAUUAGAGAUACGCUAUUGAAUGAGUGGGAACCUGACAAGUUGCAUAAAUCACUUGGAAAUAUUGACCUGAGAAUAUGGCACUUCCGACGUUCCCGAUCUUUUUGAACUUUGAGAAGGAGCAUUGCCACUGUUGCUAGACACCAACUUCUCUUUGUAUGAGGACAACGUAAAGAAAUUAUCUAAGGUGAGAUAUCUCAUGAAACAAGUUUCAGAACUGGGGCUACUAAGUGACAUAAAAUAUAUUCUGUGUGAACACCUG
This 713-nucleotide long non-coding RNA is filed under the name Homo sapiens (human). RNAcentral describes it as "HSALNT0142125". The record is from RNAcentral. Lineage: Eukaryota; Metazoa; Chordata; Mammalia; Primates; Hominidae.